AACGAACGCUGGCGGCAGGCUUAACACAUGCAAGUCGAACGGAUGCAGCAAUGCAUCAGUGGCAGACGGGUGAGUAACACGUGGGAACCUUCCUCGGGGUACGGAACAACUCAGGGAAACUUGAGCUAAUACCGUAUACGUCCGUGAGGAGAAAGAUUUAUCGCCCUGAGACGGGCCCGCGUCGGAUUAGCUAGUUGGUGGGGUAAUGGCCUACCAAGGCGACGAUCAUUAGCUGGAUCGAGAGGUUGACCAGCCACACUGGGACUGGGAUACGGCCCAGACUCCUACGGGAGGCAGCAGUGAGGAAUUUUCCACAAUGGACGAAAGUCUGAUGGAGCAACGCCGCGUGCAGGAAGACGGCUUUCGGGUUGUAAACUGCUUUUAUUUGGGAAGAUUAUGACGGUACCAAAUGAAUAAGGAUCGGCUAACUACGUGCCAGCCGCCGCCGUAA
RNAcentral lists this ribosomal RNA (451 nucleotides) under uncultured bacterium. RNAcentral describes it as "partial 16S ribosomal RNA". It matches the Rfam family "Bacterial small subunit ribosomal RNA", at positions 29 to 523 of the family's 1533-position model. The record is from RNAcentral.